Molecule: long non-coding RNA, 3001 nt
Organism: Cygnus olor (mute swan)
Lineage: Eukaryota; Metazoa; Chordata; Aves; Anseriformes; Anatidae
Exons: 3
Source: RefSeq, a predicted model, not a curated record
UAUCCAGGGGUGCUGCAACAGCCCAAGUAGUUUGUUACAUGGGCUGCUCAUAGAAUUUGUUCCUAACAUUUUACUACACGGAAAAGCCAGUUCCUUCUCUCUCAUUGUACCAGGUGAGAAGAUCACAAAGAAGCAACACCGUGACAAUAGGCUUGAGGUUUGGCAGAGCUCGCGGCUACGGGGCCUCAGACAGUCACCCCACUGCUGAUUUUAGGAGUGUAAAGUCCCUCUGAGGAAGGAUAUGUAUAUAUAGGUGCAUGUAUAUCACAAGGGUAUUUUACCCCUAUUUACACAUACCAUGAUUUCAUAGCCACAGUCAUUUCACAGAGGAUGUGCAAAGACAAACAACAAACUUAGAUCUGCUUUGCAUUUUUGUGCUCUUGUGCUGAUGUUCCUUUUCUCCCUGCCAUUUGCAGUUCACUUUUCAUCCUCCCUGCUUCCAGUCUGAAGGUUUCUCUAAAUAAAGAUACUCAGAGCAUUAUAGGAAAAAUUGCUCCUUACAAAUAUCAGCUUGUUUAGCAGUUUCUAGAACUCAGGGCUUAUUAAGAGCUCGCUGCUGAAACAAUGAUUUAGCAUGAAGCUGCAGCUGGCGUAACAAGAGAACCAUGCCACGUAUUUUAACCUUUGCUGGAGGAUUUGCCACAUCUGUAAGUAGUAACUCACCACAGAUUUCUUCCCUGUGUGCUGUCAUGGAUGGAAACAUAUGGUUCAAAAUUGCAGAGACCAUCGUUUGGAAUUUCAGAUGAAAACUGUUCACAAGGACAGAGGCCCCGUGCUUUCCCUUGUCCAAAAACACAUGGAAUGAACCAAAAAUAAUUUUAAAAGCACACAAACGUUCCCCAGUCUGACAGCUCCCCCUUCACACAAAGCUUGUCCAGACCCAGCUUUGCAAAUGCACAUCCCUUCCUUUCCACCCUUUCCUUGGCAGCAGUUUUUGUUGGCAGGAUGCUGUUGCCAAGGGAGACAGAAAGGAUGUGCAGCUGGCUUUUCUUCCACCUGCACUUAGUGCUGCUGAUCCUGUUUAUGUUGCUGCAGAACCUUUGGCUUCUAAGAGACCUAGCAUCAAUGUCACCGGACCUUUUGAAGAGUUUUGACAAUGACACGAAUAGCCAUGACCUCUGAUGGAAGGCUUAAAAUAGGAUCUUGCCAAAGAGAGGAUGUAGUUGAUGUCACAGAUGCUGACUCAAGCGAGGGUAUCCAUUUCACAAGCAGCAAUAAAAAGGGAAAAAGGAGGAUUCAAAGACAUCUUAACAAAGGUUUCUGACAACUGCGCAAACCUCAGGGAUACUCACACGAAAUGUGUAUUUAAGAGAUGAUAACAUCCUCAGCUGUCAUUGUACCGGAGCAGUAAAAUUAUUCCCACAGUAAAGCGCAAUAUAGGGAAGCAAUCCUGUUUGGAGCCAGAGCACUACGUGUGGCAUCUGCAUUACAGCUGCAGGAGAACAUUAGUCUUUGCAUUAACAUUAACUACUGUGGCUGAGCGAAUAUAUUAGCAGCAGCCUUAGUAAAGGUCAGGACACAGAGAAGAAGGAAUAUCAAGAAGCAUUAUACAGAGGACAUAAUUUUCAGGUAAAGUGCUGAGUUUCAGCCCCAUUCAAUAUGAGUUGAAAGGACUGGAUGGAUAUAAAUAAAGGCAGGCUUGCUUGAGGGACCAAUUACAGGGCCAUCGAUAGCAGUGUCAGGAAAAGUCCAUCGGGAAAACAGUGGCUUCUGCUACACUGGUGUAAAUCCAGGACAACUGCACUGCAAUUAGUCAAAUUAUUCAGCAUAUAAAUGACUCUGAGAGGAGAACAUAGGAAAAACUAAAGGAACCAGCAGAAAUAAAACACAGUUGGCAGCUGAAGACCAAUGUCGCCAAAUGGGAAAAAAGGAACUAUCUGAAGACAAACAGCAAUUAAUAACUGGAACGAGCAGGCAAAGGAGCAAGAGGAUCAUCUUCUGUUCUCUUCAAGUUUGGGUGCUGGUGGCCACAGGUUGUGCUGAGCAAUCUUGAAAGCUCAGCACAACCACGGUUUGGCUGUUUCAUUUUCCCCUUUACCUGGUUUGUUGGAAAUUAGUGUUUCAGUCAAAUAGGGGAUUUAAAUAAGUCUCAAGUACUUUUCAUACCAAAAAUCUGGAAAACAGCUGCUUGGCCCAGGAUUAUUCACAAACACUAAGUCACAUAUAGCAGCUAAAACCAAGUUAUCUGGCAUGAAGCAAAGCCAGCUGCUGAAAUGCAUAUGAUAACAAGAAAUCUGUGUAUCUCAGCCUGAAGUUUUAGCUUAGUGCAGUCAGAAUCCGGCCUCUCAUUUUGGACACAGCCUCAGCAAGGUAUCUGAGCAGGAGCUGCUUCCCUCUGACUUCAGUGGAAUUGCUCACUCGCUGGAGGUGUCACACACGAUUAAUACUUCACUGAGCUGGGACCAGGGUGGGAGCAGGCAGAUAAAGCAGAGGGAGCACUCAAAUAAACGUGCAGCUAUGCUGUUACAGGCAUAAACCACAGAUUUUUGUGGAGACGUACAGCGUGCUGCUCUUUAUGUAGAUACAUUGUUCUCCUCUUCUGCUGCGCUUAUUUACUGUAUAUUUAUUCACAAGUGUCCCUGCUGGGAGCUGUUCCUGCAUGCUCAUUCACUGUCAAUUACAUUCCCAGAAACACGGCAGCACCUACAGCAACGUUUCUAUUGCAUUACAACUCUUUCCUUAAGAUGACCUUGGGUCUGAGAUAUUUAUCAGCAGGGAAAUAAAACAAAAAGACUAAAAAAAAAGACAGCAAGAGUUUGCAAGAAUUUGUUCGUGAAGGUAGCAUGAUUUGAGCUUACAAAUUACAGGCAAACAUUUUGUACUUGCUAUGGCAGUAUUAAAGCAUCUCCUUCUAAGAGCUCCACAUCAAGUUAUGCCUCUGUCUAAAUUAAUGCUUCCAAUUAGUUCUGUUUUAUUGUGCAUCCAUCACAGGAGGUUCACUGUUAGGGCUUUGAACAAUACAAAUCCAUACACUGGUAAUUAUGAAAAAAUACAUUUAGCA